GUUUCCUUAGACAAUUAGUCCAAGGUAGAAGUUCUUGUGUUAAUUAAGACCAAUAAUGGACCCAUGUUUUGAAUUGUGGUGCUAUAUGGGGUACCUUGGGUGUUUUGCUUGGAGUGGCCGAAUUCGAGGUCGAAUUCUUUUUAAGGGGGGUAGAGUGUAAUAUCCCAAAAAAAAUGUUGACCAAAAGUUAAUCUCUGGUGCGUGGAUGAGGUAAAGGGUUGUGGGCCAUUGGAUGCAAAGAUAGAAGUCAUCUGAGGCGUCGUUUCUUUCUCCCACAAAAACCCUAGGUGGCCACCCCUUUUUUCCCUUCACCCCCCCUCUUGGCCGCCACCCCCUUUUUCUACCCCUUGGCUGGACGCCCCCUCCCCCUAUGGCAGCCAUCCUCCAUUGCUUCCUCCCCCAAGAUCUCCCCCUACGCAGCAAGGAUCGAGAAAAGGAGGGGCACGUUGAAUUGAAGAGGAAGAGAGGAUCAAGGAGAUGUUCUUUCCCAUCUCCUCUUGAAGAUUUCUUGGGGAAACCCUAGGUAUGGAUGAGAUCCUUGUUCCUCCCUGUAAUUAUAGGCUUUUGGAGGUUGUGGAUCAUGGGAAUUAAAGGAUUAGAGGUUGGAUUUGAUGUGGGGUUAGGUUUUGAUCUCGAAUUUAGUUUUCUGCAGAAUGGCAGAUUCGACAGUUUCUGUUCAUGCCAGUUUUCCGUGGUCUUAGUGGCCUCAAAAAAAUAAAAAGUCUAUGUAUGAGUCGUAGAUAAUUUGUAGAUCUUUCCGUGGCCGCGAAGAACACCUCAAUCAGACAUCCGACCAGAAAGUUAUUGCAGUUUUACUAUAGCAGUUUUUCAGUCUCAUAAUUCUGUGCAGAAUCUGUUCUCUUAAGAUUUAGGCAAUUUUAUCAACAGAAUUAAACUGUGGGUUGGUAAAAGAAGUUGUAGAUAAUUUUAUAAGCUUUCCAGAUUGUUAAAGAGUGCAUUCAUAUGAUUUGUGAAACUCCAGUUAUGUUUGUUUUACUGUGGCUGUUCCUGUUUACCUGACAAAAAUGAGUGGGUCUGUUCACUGGUGGGUUUCAUCUAGUAAAUGGCCGAAUUGGCUCUUCCAACUAUGGAGACUUUUGUAGAGGGAUAAACGUUCUUACUUCCAGCAGAAUUUCAUAAUUUUUGGUUCAACAGUUUUGGAGAUAUCGAAUUUUAAAGUUAACCAUACUGCUGUCUAAAACAGAUUCAGUCAGUUAUCUUGUCAGAUGUUUUAGAACUUGUAGAUGGCAGAAUUUAAUUAUCUAUUGAAUACUGAAGUUGUAGAGUAUUUUGUGUAGAUACUCCUAGAGUAUUUGUUUGAUAUCACCGCUGUUUUAAUUUUAAAGAUACAAAAUUAACAAACAGCUUUGCUGCUGUAUGACAUGUGGUUCAGGGUGGGAGUCUUUCCACUGGGUCUUGGUUUCAAGUGUAGGAGUGUUUUGUUGAUUGAUGGCAAAUGUUUGUGAAAUAUUUGUACUAAGUUUUAUGCCCACUAGCAGGUGGCUACACUCCAGAUCAUGUCUAGUACAUUUCUUCUUCUUCGAUGAAGGCAAGUGAAUGUAGCGGUGGUUGCUUCCGUUCUGACCUGUUAUUUCUAUCGCCUACACUCUAAUAUUCAGAAGUAUCAGAUUCUUUCAUAAUUGGACUCUAUGGUGAUGCUUUACUUGCUUGCAUUAUACUGAUGCUCAAUCAUAUAUUGAUGAUGAUUAUGAUUUGAGUAUGACUCAUGAGAUUAAUUCACACCCCUGAAGGUAAAUGAAGUAUUAUUUGAGGUUGGUAUUGUAUCUGAAGGUAAAUGAAGUAUUAUUUGAGGUUUGUGUUGUAUCUGAAGGAAGUGAAGUUUAUUGAUAAAUGUAGCAUGCCAUAUACAUUGCAUGACUCAUUUGCAUAUGAAGUUUUGUCGUGACCUAUGGUCCGACCGUACCGGUACAACUUAGCAUCGUACGUUGCCCGAGAAGGGGUACGAUGCGGCUUCAUACCCUUAGAGGUAUGAAGGCAGAGGACAUAUGCAUUGCAUUCAUUGAAGUGAUAUUUGCAGAUGAUGUGGUUUUAUACCCCCAGAGGUAUGAAGAUAGAGUACCUACACAUUGCAUUCCUAUGCAUACAUUGAAGUGAUAUUUGCAGGUAUUGUUGACGCAGGGAAGUGUUAUAGAACCUAUUGUGGUUGUUCGAGGAAAUGAGAUGGUAUUGGUUAUAGUGGGACUACUGAGUUCUAUAUCUACAAGCAUUUCUGAUUUUUAAUUGUGACUCUUUUAAAAUGUUGAUGAAUUCAAUUUGUGGUUUAAAUAUCUCGUCAGAACAAUUAGCUUGCUGAGAUGUUUCAUCUCACUCUUGCAUUACUCAAUGCAGGUGCUUGUUGCUCAUCAAGGGGAGUGAGAAGUAGCAGCACAUCCACCUUCAUUCUCAUAAUAAUGCUGCCCAGACGCAGCCAUGAUUUAAUUAGAAACUUCUUGUCAAAGGAUGUUUGUUUUUAACUAGUCGUGCGUACUGAUUAAUUCAGUUCAUGUUGUUAUGGUUGUCUUCCCAUUGCUAGCAGAUUAUUAAUGUCUUAUAUGUUUUCUUAUCAUGAUAUCUAUUUAUACUUUGUCGCUUCCCCCAUUUAUGCAAUUUUCAAAGGAGAUGCUGUCGAAAUUUUAUAUAUGAAUAUUAGAUGUGUAGUUUAGUAGCAUUCUGGGG
Molecule: long non-coding RNA, 2676 nt
Filed under: Zea mays
Lineage: Eukaryota; Viridiplantae; Streptophyta; Magnoliopsida; Poales; Poaceae
Description: long non-coding RNA (ZMAY_LNC001759)
Source: RNAcentral